This 136-nucleotide unclassified non-coding RNA is filed under the name soil metagenome. RNAcentral describes it as "partial internal transcribed spacer 1". The record is from RNAcentral.
CAGAGUUGCAAAACUCCACAAACCCUUGCGAACGUACCAGAAGUCGUGCUUCGGCGGAGGCUCCUCAGGACCCGCCGGAGGGAAGUACCAGACUCUUGGUUAUUUGGCAUCUCUGAGUAUGCUUAUAAAUAAGUUA